GCAAGUCGAGGGGUAUGCUUCUUCGGAAGCAGAGACCGGCGCACGGGUGCGUAACGCGUAUGCAAUCUACCUUUCACAGAGGGAUAGCCCAGAGAAAUUUGGAUUAAUACCUCAUAGUAUAGCAGUUUCGCAUGAAACCACUAUUAAAGUCACAACGGUGAAAGAUGAGCAUGCGUCCCAUUAGCUAGUUGGUAAGGUAACGGCUUACCAAGGCAACGAUGGGUAGGGGUCCUGAGAGGGAGAUCCCCCACACUGGUACUGAGACACGGACCAGACUCCUACGGGAGGCAGCAGUGAGGAAUAUUGGACAAUGGGCGCAAGCCUGAUCCAGCCAUGCCGCGUGCAGGAUGACGGUCCUAUGGAUUGUAAACUGCUUUUAUACGAGAAGAAACCCUCCGACGUGUCGGAGCUUGACGGUAUCGUAAGAAUAAGGAUCGGCUAACUCCGUGCCAGCAGCCGCGGUAAUACGGAGGAUCCAAGCGUUAUCCGGAAUCAUUGGGUUUAAAGGGUCCGUAGGCGGUCAGGUAAGUCAGUGGUGAAAGCCCAUCGCUCAACGGUGGAACGGCCAUUGAUACUGUCUGACUUGAAUUAUUAGGAAGUAACUAGAAUAUGUAGUGUAGCGGUGAAAUGCUUAGAGAUUACAUGGAAUACCAAUUGCGAAGGCAGGUUACUACUAAUGGAUUGACGCUGAUGGACGAA
RNAcentral lists this ribosomal RNA (699 nucleotides) under Flavobacterium sp. N4_98_1. RNAcentral's name for it is "bacterial SSU rRNA". It matches the Rfam family "Bacterial small subunit ribosomal RNA", at positions 57 to 757 of the family's 1533-position model. The record is from RNAcentral. Lineage: Bacteria; Pseudomonadati; Bacteroidota; Flavobacteriia; Flavobacteriales; Flavobacteriaceae.